This is a long non-coding RNA of Rhododendron vialii, 1835 nucleotides long. RefSeq lists it as uncharacterized. NCBI's taxonomy places the organism in Eukaryota, Viridiplantae, Streptophyta, Magnoliopsida, Ericales, Ericaceae. The transcript is spliced from 4 exons. The record is from RefSeq and is a predicted model, not a curated record.
CCACGAUAUCACAUGCAUCACAGAUGUCCCAACUAUUAUCUCUUGUUGCUGCCUUUAGGCCCCUUACAGUUUAAGUUCAUUAUGAUCUCUUUCCAAUAACUUAGUUAGAAACUCAUCCAGUCAAAAGAGGGUCCUAACCCUGCAACAUGGCAAUGAGGACAAUGUACAAGAAGACAAAUAGUUUAGAAAACCUUUAUCAAACUAUGCUAUUAGUCUCCCACACUCUCUUUAACUGUCGAAAGAAAAGAAUUGAGUAUGAAACAUUGAAAAUGGAGUGUCAAAUCUUAUACUGAACUCCUUCCAUUAAUGUCCAAACGAACCAUAAUAAAAUUAAACAGUAGUAAAACUUUCCAUCCUAAUCAACCAAAUUCUAGAGAUAGAAAAUAUUCAAGUGAUGCUUAUUGAUCCUUGCUCAGUCUUUCUAGUUUUUAUAAUAAACAACUGUGGAAUAUUAGGACAAGAAAAGAUGCUAGUGACUCUCAAGAUUAAUGGGAAAUGGCCAUAAAAGCAACCUCUCUUUUAUUAGUUACUGUUUAUUCUUGUUAACAAGGUGUUCCCAAAGUCUGACAUGAAGAAGUUCAAAUGAUUUUAGUCUCCUUAUUUAACUGUGCCCCUCGAAGAUAAACUCCCAGUUCACUUUCGUUCUUCGUUAUGAUUCUCUUUGUUUAUAUUCAACGUACUGCUAAAUAUAGUAGCUGUACUAAGACACACAGAUUUUCAAGGUUGCUUAUGUGUACUUUUAUGUCCCUUGUGUGCUGCAGAAUGGAAAGUUGUUGAGAAGCAUAAAGUCCCAUACUGUUGCUAUUGUUUGUCUUAAUUGGGAGGAAGAUGGAACAAAGAAUGAUCUUCAUUCUUAGCUGAAGGAACUAAUUCCUGAACAGCAUAUGGCUAAGGAUGGGAAAAUAGUUUUCAAGCCUGGGGAAUUGGCCCUUGAGACGAAAAACUACUUAGAAAAAAGAAAGAAGUUAAUUGAAGAGAACUGUGCAAAGAUUGAAGCUCUGGGGUGUAAGCAAUUGGCAAAUCCGUUUUUAAAGAAAAGUACAACUGCUGGAAAGAGAAGACACAAGACGGAUUGUGUUGUUAAUGAUGACGUGGAUUGGCAACCGGCAAAUGGUGAGGAUGGGAGUAGUUCUUGCUUCGAAGAUGAUGAAUGUUUCUUGGAAGAUGAAGAAUGUUCUGAGGGUCGAUUGAGUAAGGUAAUGCAUGUUUGUGUGGAAUAUUAAAUAAGAGUUGUUAUUAUUUUUUUUUGGUUAAUGUUUAUCCUUGUUACACUACGUCCAAUUAAGCAAUUUUCACUUUGCUGCAUUCAUCAUAUUAUUUUAAUUUUGAUGUAGGUGGCUACUACAAGAAAGCGUGUACAAUUGUCAGCUGGACCAAUGAGUGCUAUAUUGCAGCCUUUGUCUACCAUUAAUCAAGACCAACAUGGAAAUCAGCAAGUACAGUUGCAGGAGCAGGCGCAACCAUAGGUGCAAGCAAAGCGAGUGCGAUAUUAGGCUGCACCCAUGAGUGCUACAUUGCAGCCUUCGCCUACCAUUAGUCAAGACCAGCAUGAAAAUCAGUCAGCACAAUUGCAAUGGCAUGCACAGCCGCAAGUGCAAGCAAAGCGAGUGCGAUGUCGGGCUGCACCUAUGAGUACUAUAUUACAGCUUUUGCCUACCAUUAGUCAAGACCAGCAUGGAAAUCAACUACCUCCAAACUAUCAUGAGUUUCAGUCACCAUCUGAUGAAGUGGCAGGUCAUGUAAAUGAGAGAGCCGUGGAGCUUGAAUCACAUCAACAAUCUAUGAGCAGUCACACUACUUCAAACUUGCAGUCGCUGGAACAAUGCAAUGAAGGG